Molecule: long non-coding RNA, 1595 nt
Filed under: Hordeum vulgare
Lineage: Eukaryota; Viridiplantae; Streptophyta; Magnoliopsida; Poales; Poaceae
Description: long non-coding RNA (HVUL_LNC017015)
Source: RNAcentral
UUGGAUUCAGCAACAACUAGGCCCUUCCCUACCCUUCCUUUCGUUCCAUUAUUUACUCAAAUUCCACUUCCAACCAACCACCUACAUAUUAGUUGUCAAUCCUACUAGCUAGCUCUGUGCUAGAUUAGGCAUGUGUUUUGGACUUGGGUUUCAAAGUUAAAGGUUUUGUUUGUUUGCUGCUAGGCACUCUAGAGGCUCCCAUUGAAAAUCGAGAAUGGCGUGCAUAUGGCAGUGCUGGAGCUAGGAAUUUGCUCCUGGGUAUUCUUGUACUUUCUUUUGACCAAAGCAAUAUAACAGAACAAUAAAUAUGCAGUAGGAUAACAACAUCAAUGACUCAAUGACCAUAUAUGGAUAAUAGUAGCAAAAUAUCACUGUGGCAAUACCUCUAACAAUUAAGAAAGAUUACAAAAAACAAAGGAAAUUACAAUAUAACUUUAUGAUCCCCUUUCUGAAAGAGAUUAAUGAUAUCUUCAUAUUUGACUUGCUUGAAAAUUCUCUCUCAAUGAAGGUAACCAAGCAAUUAUUGAAAUAUUAAACACCCAUUUAAUUUCUUAGUUGAUUCUUCAAAUAUUUCACUAAGGAAAAUAAUCUUUCAACACUAGCAGUGGUUACUCGAAGAAUGAGCACAAACUUAAGAAGUUUGUAAACAAUAUAAUAUUGUUCAUUCUUUCUUGACACAACCAUCAAAACUAAAAGCUCUCACAAAGCUUAAUCUGUUACAAUAGUUAGAUCUUGGAAUUUGUUAAGAAAUAUUAGUGGCUACACACAAAUUAGCAAUCAAUGGUUACACACAUGGACUUGCAAAACAUAGCUUCUAAUUUGUUAAUAAAUAGAGGACAACUUUAAAAUUAAAUUAUGUUAUUAAGACGGACGCCAAAUUGCAUGAUGGUACGCAUGGCCGCACAGCCUUCGGGCUGGACUGCCAGAGGUGAAGCCAAGAGGCCGACAGGGAUGAGGCUUCCAACUGCGCCACUGCUGGAGAAUCGCACCGCCGCAGGGAUCUGCCAAUCUGGCCAACAAAGCAUGGAGAGAGAAACCGUCAUCGCCAGCUAUUGACAAACCUAUACCGGAGUCUUGGAAUUGCCAAGCUCUAAGAUCGAUGCCGACCAUGAUGCAACCAAGCUCAAAGGCUAGUUCACGGACUAUUGACGGUAUUACGACCCAUGGUUGCCUCACCUCUAUGGUUCUCGACCCAAGUAGGUCGAACCGAGAACCCUUAGGCCUGGUUUUGGUCCUCGGCCAUCAUGUCGGCCCAUGGGCACUAUAAGGGGGAGAUUCGGCAACCCUUGGCAUUUGAUACAUCUCAAACGGAUCGAUAAGUUUUUCAUGAUUCAUGUUAUAUUGCUAUCAACUUUACACACUUGGGGCAUGAUUGAUAGUAAAUUUAUUGGACUAACAUAUUAACCCAGUGCCACUUUUAGUUCUCGAUUUUAUUUUGUUUUUGCUUUUUCAGGAAAAUACACAGAAAAGUCCUAGAAAUAUCUAUAUCCAAAAAAAUGUAUUUCAGAAGAUUGAAGACCAGGAGGACCCUUGGGGAUCUGAGUCCACACCUUGUGGGGCCCAUAUGUCCUUGGAGACCUUAGGAACCCUAGGUU